This 207-nucleotide ribosomal RNA is filed under the name uncultured delta proteobacterium. RNAcentral describes it as "partial 16S ribosomal RNA". It matches the Rfam family "Bacterial small subunit ribosomal RNA", at positions 568 to 774 of the family's 1533-position model. The record is from RNAcentral. RNAcentral also lists the same sequence under 1 other name. Lineage: Bacteria; Deltaproteobacteria.
CGUGUAGGCGGUCUGAUUAGUCUGAUGUGAAAGCCCUGGGCUCAACCCAGGAAGUGCAUUGGAUACUGUCAGACUUGAAUACGGGAGAGGGUAGUGGAAUUCCUAGUGUAGGAGUGAAAUCCGUAGAUAUUAGGAGGAACACCGGUGGCGAAGGCGGCUACCUGGACCGAUAUUGACGCUGAGACGCGAAAGCGUGGGUAGCAAACA